This 437-nucleotide ribosomal RNA is filed under the name uncultured bacterium. RNAcentral describes it as "bacterial SSU rRNA". It matches the Rfam family "Bacterial small subunit ribosomal RNA", at positions 958 to 1397 of the family's 1533-position model. The record is from RNAcentral.
AACGCGAAGAACCUUACCUAGACUUGACAUCUCCUGAAUUACUCUUAAUCGAGGAAGUCACUUCGGUGACAGGAAGACAGGUGGUGCAUGGUUGUCGUCAGCUCGUGUCGUGAGAUGUUGGGUUAAGUCCCGCAACGAGCGCAACCCCUAUUGUUAGUUGCUACCAUUUAGUUGAGCACUCUAGCGAGACUGCCCGGGUUAACCGGGAGGAAGGUGGGGAUGACGUCAAAUCAUCAUGCCCCUUAUGUCUAGGGCUACACACGUGCUACAAAGGCUGGUACAGAGAGAUGCGAUACCGUGAGGUGGAGCCAAACUUUAAAACCAGUCUCAGUUCGGAUUGUAGGCUGAAACUCGCCUACAUGAAGCUGGAGUUGCUAGUAAUCGCGAAUCAGAAUGUCGCGGUGAAUACGUUCCCGGGCCUUGUACACACCGCCCGU